This 1928-nucleotide ribosomal RNA is filed under the name Triticum aestivum (bread wheat). RNAcentral's name for it is "partial small subunit ribosomal RNA". The record is from RNAcentral. Lineage: Eukaryota; Viridiplantae; Streptophyta; Magnoliopsida; Poales; Poaceae.
GUGAACUUGUGCUGCCAUUUUGGCUGGAUGUUAUGUGUGCGCACCUGCAUAUCCAAAACAUUAACGUGUGCAUCAAAGGCGCUCGGUCGCGCGUGCCAUGUCAUCAGGUCGAUCGGGUGUGAGGGUUAGCGAGGAGAAAAAACAGAUCGAAAAAAAGAAGAUGGUCGAUUGGGCAGCGGCCAGAUAACGCCUCCACUGCUUUCUCUUCCCCACAAAGCAAACCCUCACCUCCCAGGUUCACACGCAACCUCCGCUCGUCUCCUUGUUUCUCUCCUCCGCCUCUUCCUCCGGGUGUACUUGCGGCUGCAGCGGGAUGGGAGUAAAGGGGGCGAGCAGGAUGGGUGGCCAGCUGAUUUCUUCGAAGGAUCUGGAGCCCAGGGGCGACGCCGCGGAGGACCGGGAGUGGGGGCGAUGGCCAGGCCUGGUGGUGACGGGACGAUUUAGUGGUCGGAGGCGCUACAUCGGAUGCCAGUCAGUCUGCAACGACUCCAGCGCCAGUGUGCCCCUUGGCACCUCCCGCGCCAAGGGAAUAGAUGUGAAAUGCUCAACUUAGGAGGGAGCAUAGACAAGGAAUCUGAAGUUGGAAAGAAACAACUGGAUAUCAAAGCAAAAGUAUCACGUCUCCUCUUAGAAAUCAGCUAACUAUUCUAAUUCUGGAGACUCUUAUGGCCCUAGAUCUGCCAGGCAGUUGCAAUUGUUGCUUUAGUCAAACUAAAAAAUUGUUAACUUUGCAGUGUAAGCGGACCCUUUAGCAGGAGAGCAACACAACUGCUAGCUUCCCUUACAGGAGAUGGAUACGAAGUCCGUGGAGGGUCAGAAUACAAAGCUCUACUAGGUGAUGGAGCUGGAGAAGUUGAGUACUUCCAGUCUCUUGACGAACGAAUCAUUAAAUGAAGGGAGUUUCUGAUCCUAUUAAAUGUCAUUGCGGACUGGAGUACAAUGUAGAACUAGGCAGGGAUGCCAUGGGUGCAAGAUGAACUCAUUAUAUAGAUGACCACAGGUCCAGUGUGUUUAAAGUAUGCAUAUGUGCGGCUGCCGUAUGUACAGCUUGACAACUCCAUAUAGAGAAACUGGAUAAAGUGCCAGUGCCGCAGGAGCAAAACAGCGCCCCAGAUGAAACCAACACGGAUGACGAUUAACUUCUCUGACCUUAAUCACAUUAAUGAGUGAACUUUCUUGUAAUCCUUUUUCCUGACACUAUAAGGCAAUGGCUUAGCCUGAUAUUUUGGUAGUUGUGUAAGUUGAAACAUGAUGCUAAGCCGAACAAUUUAUUGUCCUUUUUUCGCAUGAUAUCACAUUUUGGUAGUUGUGAAGCCUAAACCAUGAUGCUUUUGCUACUGCUGUAGUCCCUAAUGAAAUUGUGAGAUAAUGUAGUUAAGCUAAGUUUCUUUUGUUUCAAUAAAACAGAUGCUGGUAGUUGCAUAAGUUGAACCAUGAUGCUGGUUAAGCUAAUCUCAUUGAUUGCACUCCCAAAAAUCACAGGAGCCAUUCAGAAAAAGAUUAGUAGAGUUCUUUACUGUUGAAAUUUCUGAGGGGAUUUAUGGAAGAUCACAGGACGAUAUUUCGGGAGUCUAAUGAUCACGGUGCAUUUGAUAUUGAUGGCUUGGGAAAUCAUAUGGCGAUAGGGUCUGAUGAUGUCUGAUGAAGGAAUAGUCACAAGCAGAGAUGGCCUAAAGGCUCUUGGAUACAACUGUUCUUUUAGUAUGCCAUUGACGGACAUAAGUCGAUGUUUUCAGUCAGGAUGAGCUUUGAUUCUAAAUGAUAUUAGAUAUGCACUCAUGUACUUUCUACACGAUUUUUCUUUGGUUUAUUCAGUCUCUUGGGGUGCUCAUAGAAGUAGGGUUGCGUAUGUUCAUACGCUUGUUGUGAGGGUCUUCGUCUGUAUAAGUGUUUCUAAAUAGACUUAAGUUUAUUAAAUUCCAUAUAGG